GAAACUUAAAAACUCAUUAUUGAGUUCUCUUUCCCAUCUUGCAAGAUGGUGAGAAGUUGGAUACUGAGGAGAAGAAACCCGAAGCCAAGAAGGCUGAUGCUGGUGGCAAGGUGAAAAGGGGGAACCUCAAAGCUAAAAAGCCCAAGGGGGAAGCCCCAUUGAAGCUGAAAUCCCAUCCUUGUCAGAGGAAUUGGCAGAUAUUCCCAAUCUGCUACAUAUUCCAGAAAGGCCGUGUACAAGAGGAAGUACUCAGCUGCUAAAUCCAAGGUUGAAAAGAAAAAGGAGGAGAAGGUUCUUGCAACUGUUACAAACAGUUGGUGGUGACAAGAAUGGUGGUACCCGGCUGGUUCAACUUCACAAAAUGCCUAGAUAUUCUCCUACUGAAGACAUGCCUUGGAAGCUAUUGAGCCAUGGCAAAAACCCCUUCAGCCAGCAUGGGAGAAAAUUGUAAGCCAGCAUCACCCCUGGGACCUUCUGAUCAUCCUCACUGGACACCACAGAGGCAAGAGGGCGGUUCUCCUGAAGAGCUGGGCAGUGGCUGUUACUUGUGUCUGGACCUCUGGUCCUCAGUUGAGGACACACCAGAAAUUUGCCAUUGCCACCUCAACCAAAAUUGGUAUCAGCAAUGUGAAAAUCCCAAUACAUCUUACUGAUGCUUAAUUCAAGCAGCAGCAGCUGCAGAACCCCAGACACCAGAAAGGUGAGCUCUUCGACACACAAACAGAGAAGUACAAGAUUACAGGGCAGCGCAAGGUUGAUCAUCAAAAAGCUGUGGACUCACAAAUUUUACUGAGUAUCAAAGCUAUUCCUCAGCUCCAGGGCUACCUGAGAUCUGUGUUUGCCCUGAUGAGUGGAGUUUAUCCCUCACAAACUGGUGUUCUAAAUUUCUUAAGAACCUAAUAAAGGAUAUAUAAAAAUAAAAUAA
This is a long non-coding RNA of Homo sapiens (human), 925 nucleotides long. Lineage: Eukaryota; Metazoa; Chordata; Mammalia; Primates; Hominidae. The record is from Ensembl.